ACUCUCUUUCCUUUCAUCUCUUAUCUUUUGUGUCUCUGAAACAGAAGAAAACCCUAUCUCUUAUAUGAAAAAAAAAACUCCAUUAAAUCUAUGGAUCCAAAGAAGAAAGACAUAAACAGAUGGAGAAAAUCAUUUCCUCCAUUUCCUCCUCUUUUCUAGUCCAUUCUCUUUCUGAUGUGAUGACUUGAAGGGUUUGAGAGAUGAGAUUAAGAUUCGGUUUGAGAGAAUCAAUUGAUGUGGGUAUGUACAUGUUGAAGUGAUGGUGCUGCUGUGAACCAUGGAAGAGAACUACUAGGGAUAGUUAUAGAUUCGUGAUGAACAGAGAGAAGCAGUUAGGGUUUUGAAUCUGACUUUUGAAUUGGAUGAAAUCGAUUCGUAAAUCGAGUAUUAAUUGAUGAAGAAAUAAAAGGGUAUUGUUUAAUUUUAGUUGUGGAAAUGUUUUUAGAUGGAGAAUCAAAGAAUUAGGGUUUUGAUUUUUACGCCUGGAAUCAAGAUAAGAAUCGAGAUUUUGUUACAGGGGAAGGUAAUUAACAUGGUAAGACUGCGGACGAUCUCUCCUGCAAUUUCUCCUUUGGGGAUCGAUAUAAGGCUUGAGCUGAGAACUGGUGCUCAAGAAGAUGUAACUGAUGAUUAUGGAGCAACACUGUCCACUGAAGUGCCAGCAUGGAGCAGCAGAGUUGUGUUGAUGGAGGUUGAUGUUGCUGUGUUGAGUUUUGUUUAGGUUUUUUGUUAUUCAAUGUGUUUAGAGAUUAGGGUUCUUAUCAGGAUUUGAAAUUGUUGAGUUCCCAGUGAUGAUUAACUACCAUGCUAAUUCUGAGAUUCCUUUCAGUCUCAAUGAAGUGAAUCUUUUGUUUAUCCAGAACAUCUGAGGGAACUAUAUAUUUUUCAUUCAAUGGCCUAGGGUUCCAUUCGAUCUCUUAUAUGUUUUGUUGAUUUCUUAUUUCUUUUGUGUUCGAUUCAGUUUCUAUUGAGUUUUCGUUUGUGAACAAAAUCUCUUAUAUAUUUUGUUCACAGUGGAUGAUUUCUUUAUUAUUUAGAUUAAGGUCAACUCUUUUGUUAUCAUCGAAUGAUUGAAUCUGUAAUGAUACCAGAAUUGAUCUUCAUCUGAACGAUGAAGAUUGUACUUCAGAAAAUUGUGCUUCUGCUCGUCUCUAGAAUGUGGGCUUGGUUUAUUGUGUGAUUUCCAUUGCUAGGGUUUUUAAUCUGCGUUGUUUGAAUAUUUAGUAUGUUAACGAAUUGAUUGAAGUAUGGGUCUGUAUUAGAGGGAUAGAAGAAGAAGAUGGAGCUGGUGAGAUAGGAGGAAGUUGGUGGAUUGUUUUACAGGGGUUUGAAUUGGAUGUGUAUUCUCAGCAGCGGGGUUCGAUUUCAUGAGGUUUUCGUCAUGCUUUUGCUGGUGUUACGGCCAUGGUUCGAUGGCAGGCUAAAGUGUCUACUGCUGCUUUGAUCUGCAGAAUCGUAUUUUGGGACGUCCUAGUUGGGACUUGAUUGAGAAGCUGUGAAGAUUAUGGGGCAUCUGGUGCAGUUUUCUUUUUCUUCAGGUGAUUUCAAACCAACUUCAGGUGAAAAACAUUCAACUUAUUGGCUUUGUUCUCUUUAUUUUAAUCCGUUACAAUUAUUUGGAAAAUUUUAUGUUGGUUAGUUGCAACAAUGUAAGGACCAGUUUUUUUAUAAUCAAUUUGUUAUGUACCUUGUUUCUAUUUCUUUAUCAUUGAUUGUAUACUUUUGGUUCAGGUUCAUUAUCUGAUGUGCGCAACAGCCGGACCAUUAGUAGCUGCAGCAACCACUUUGUUUGCGGCAGGUUUAGGCUUUUCCUUCCCAGCAUCAGUUGUGGUAAGCAUAACCAUGUCAGCUGUGACAACACUCAAUUUUUCUUGUAUACGUUUUCGAGCUGCUUCCAAUGAUGUAUCAGUAGCCCACCGAACAUCAUCAUCUUCCUCCUCAUGUGCAACAUUGUCAUCAGCAGCCUUGCCUUCUUUUAGCCUUUCUUUCUCAGCCCUCCGCAUUGCCUUAUCCGUUCUUCUUCUCAGGAGGAUUCUUCACUAUGGAAGCUGUGAGCUUGUCCCUCAUGUCAACAUCAGAAACAAAACCACAGGCAGCAUAUUUCAGUUCUAUCAUCUUGGUUUUGGAGAUGAUAACCUCAGUCUCAGUGUUCCCAUAUCCAUAACACUGGAAAAAUUUCUUAAUGAAGUUUUCAAGCAAACCUGCAAGCCUAACAGCAUCGUGGGAACCAUUCACAAGAGCAAUUCCAGUCUUUUCACCACAAGAGGGCAUUGGUUGAGUCUUCCCAGAUUCGCGUGUUUGGUUUGCCAGUCAGGCCCUCGUUUUGUCGGCUUGUAAAGAAAACUGCAAGAUCUCUCGGCUAAGUACUAUUCAAUGCAGAACUUGGUAAACCAAUUGGACAGAUCAUCAUCAUAUGUGGCUGGAACAAAAUCUUAACUUCUACAUUAGAAACUGGUCCAUGGAACGUCCCAGUAAAGGUAAUUCACCUGUUCUGUAUAUUUAACUAUGUAGUCAAGUGGGUUGGUUUUUUGACAAAAUCACUUUUAGAUGCUUUUACUGGAGUCGAUAACAGUUUUCUUUGUUUAUGGUGCUUCCAUGUUCUGUAAUCCUAUGAAGUUCUGUAAAACUGAUCUUCUGUAGUAACAAACAAUAGUGAUUAUAAUUGGAAACCUGAUCUUGUUUUCAAA
Papaver somniferum (opium poppy) is the source of this 2687-nucleotide long non-coding RNA. RefSeq lists it as uncharacterized. The transcript has 2 exons. The record is from RefSeq and is a predicted model, not a curated record. Lineage: Eukaryota; Viridiplantae; Streptophyta; Magnoliopsida; Ranunculales; Papaveraceae.